CCUACGGGGGACAGCAGUGGGGAAUAUUGCACAAUGGGGGAAACCCUGAUGCAGCGACGCCGCGUGAGUGAUGAAGUAUCUCGGUACGUAAAGCUCUAUCAGCAGGGAAGAAAAUGACGGUACCUGCCUAAGCAGCCCCGGCUAACUACGUGCCAGCAGCCGCGGUAAUACGUAGGGGGCAGGCGUUAUCCGGAUUUACUGGGGGGAAAGGGAGCGUAGACGGCAGCACAAGUCUGGAGUGAAAUCCCGGGGCUUAACCCCGGAACUGCUUUGGAAACUGUGCGGCUGGAGUGCAGGAGGGGUAAGCGGAAUUCCUAGUGUAGCGGUGAAAUGCGUAGAUAUUAGGAGGAACACCGGUGGCGAAGGCGGCUUACUGGACUGUAACUGACGUUGAGGCUCGAAAGCGUGGGGAGCAAACAGGAUUAGAUACCCUGGUAGUC
Molecule: ribosomal RNA, 440 nt
Filed under: uncultured bacterium
Lineage: Bacteria
Description: partial 16S ribosomal RNA
Rfam family: Bacterial small subunit ribosomal RNA
Source: RNAcentral